RNA transcript from Tarenaya hassleriana, 1361 nucleotides. It is a transcript of the gene named translationally-controlled tumor protein homolog, with no coding region annotated. Lineage: Eukaryota; Viridiplantae; Streptophyta; Magnoliopsida; Brassicales; Cleomaceae. The transcript has 3 exons. The record is from RefSeq and is a predicted model, not a curated record.
UCUCUCUCUCGCUUCCUGUUACUGUUCUUGAGUUCUAUCCUUUUGUCGAUCGGACGCAGAGAGAGAGAGAGAGUGAGAGUAAGCAACAAUGUAGGCUUACCAGGAUCUCCUCACCGGCAAUGCUCCGUCAUUUUCACGUUCAUGUCUGUUAUUCCAAGUUUCGAUUCAAUUCGUUAUCGGAUCAUCCAUGGAUUUGCCUUUUAUAAGCAUGUUUUUCCGGUCGUUUCCUCUGGUGUCGGUAAGAUUCACGCAAGUUUUCUUAAGUCUCGCGUUGCUGCAUUCUCUGAUGGUAUGCUUAAUUGGCUUAGUUAGUCGGUAUUACGUCUCUGUAAGUUGGAAGCUCGUCCAUUACCAAUCCGAUUCCCGCUGCUGUCGAUUAUGUUGGGCUUACUCAAUUUUCGUUUCCCUGGAGCGAAUUCUAGGGUUUCGAUCCUCGUUUCUCUUUUUGGUUUAGAUUGCUUCGAAGUUUGAGUUUUUCUACUCUCAUAAUGGUGUUUAACACUAUAGCUUUCAGGUGACGAGCUUCUGUAUGACUCAUUUCCUUGCAAGGAAAUCGAGAGCGGAACCCUUAGGGAGGUAGUGGGAAAGCCGGUUGCUCAAGGAGCAAUUGAGGUGGAUAUCGGAGCUAAUCCUUCCGCCAAAGGUAGCGAUGAGGAGCCUCCUUUCAACAAGAAGCGUUUCAUUGCAGAGGUCAGCAAUUACCUCGAGCUUUUGAAGUCCAUGUUGAACUCCGACCAACAGGAUAAGCUCAAGAAGAACACAGAAGGAGCAACCAAGCUCUUGCUGUCUAAACUAUAAGAUCUCCAACUCUUUGUUGAAGAGAGCAUGGCAAAUGACAGCAGCUUGGUGUUUGCAUAUUACAAGGACAGUGCGACAAACCCGGCAUUAUUGUACUUUGCGGCUUUGCCUAUUGCCUUGAGGAGGUUUAAGUGCUAAAGAUGAAUGUUUGGAAAUCUCUGUCUUGGGAUAAAACAAUAAUAUUUCAUCCAUUUUUUUAAUAGUAACACUCUAUUUUUUUUGGCAACGGAGCUUUCGGAUGCGGAGUAAACCCACCGGUCCCACGCAAUAGCAUGCAAAUGACAUGGAACAGGUAAACCAGCAGAAACUGAAAGACUCAGGGGAAGACUCAUGUUCUAGAGGGUUGAACCCAUUACCUCCAACUAGAAAGAUAAGGUUCUCAACCAAUAGAGUUGGCAGCUUCUCCCUCUACUCUCUUUGUUAUGCUUGUUCUAUUGUUUGAUCUCAUUGAGAAUCUCAGUCUGGUCUUGUUACUUCAUUUGAUCUCUUUGUUUCUCAUUUAAUACAUUAUCUGUGUGGAUGCACUUUCUGCUCGGAAAAUAAAGUAUAAUAUCUUCUGGUUC